RNAcentral lists this ribosomal RNA (254 nucleotides) under uncultured bacterium. RNAcentral describes it as "partial 16S ribosomal RNA". It matches the Rfam family "Bacterial small subunit ribosomal RNA", at positions 524 to 776 of the family's 1533-position model. The record is from RNAcentral.
UACGUAGGGUGCGAGCGUUGUCCGGAAUUAUUGGGCGUAAAGAGCUCGUAGGCGGUUUGUCGCGUCGUCUGUGAAAUUCUGCAACUCAAUUGUAGGCGUGCAGGCGAUACGGGGCAGACUUGAGUACUACAGGGGAGACUGGAAUUCCUGGUGUAGCGGUGAAAUGCGCAGAUAUCAGGAGGAACACCGAUGGCGAAGGCAGGUCUCUGGGCAUUAACUGACGCUGAGGAGCGAAAGCAUGGGGAGCGAACAGG